GGCUGGUUAGCUCACUCAGUUAGAGCGCGGUGCUGAUAACACCAAGGUCGCAGGUUCAAUUCCUGUUCGGUCC
RNAcentral lists this transfer RNA (73 nucleotides) under Apaloderma vittatum (bar-tailed trogon). It matches the Rfam family "tRNA". From Rfam's summary of the family: Transfer RNA (tRNA) molecules are approximately 80 nucleotides in length. Their secondary structure includes four short double-helical elements and three loops (D, anti-codon, and T loops). Lineage: Eukaryota; Metazoa; Chordata; Aves; Trogoniformes; Trogonidae. The record is from Rfam by way of RNAcentral.